RNAcentral lists this long non-coding RNA (262 nucleotides) under Brachypodium distachyon (stiff brome). RNAcentral describes it as "long non-coding RNA (BDIS_LNC001363)". Lineage: Eukaryota; Viridiplantae; Streptophyta; Magnoliopsida; Poales; Poaceae. The record is from RNAcentral.
GAAGGGAAGAGGUUGCAGUGGCACUCGUGCUUGCCGGAGGCGCUUGUUCUUCACUUGCUGCAGAAGCUUGAGGGAACGAGGAGGAGCAGCAGCAGAUUGGAGACGAGGAGGAGGUGCAGCAGCUUGGAGACGAGGAGGAGCAGCAGUAGUGGAUCGGGAGCAGGGGCAGCAGCAGCUUCGGUGGCGCGCCGCCACGCUGGCCUGGCUGCGGCGGCGGCCGGAGGUGGAGCAGGAGGUUAGGGGAAGGGAGAGGGAAUGCCAU